GAAGUUCGCCAGGCAGUCGCCGUACACCUAUGUGUGCGGAGGAAAGUCCGGGCCCCGUAGAGCAGGAUGCCGGCUAACCGCCGGGCGUCGUGAGGCGACGGAAAGUGCAACAGAAAACAAACCGCCGAUGGCCCGUGCAAUGCGGGAUCAGGCAAGGGUGAAAUGGUGGGGUAAGAGCCCACCGCAGGACUGGUGACAGAACUGGCACGGCAAACCCCAUCCGGGGCAAGGCCAAAUAGGGGGGCAAUGGCGUGGCUCGCGCCGCUCCCGGGUAGGCUGCUGGAGCACCGGGGUAACCCGGCGCCAAGAGGAAUGACUGCCCGAUGUCCCUUGGGGGCAUUCGACAGAACCCGGCUUAUCGGCGAACUUCCCCC
RNAcentral lists this RNase P RNA (374 nucleotides) under Azoarcus sp. Its description in RNAcentral is "RNase P RNA component class A". It matches the Rfam family "Bacterial RNase P class A". From Rfam's summary of the family: Ribonuclease P (RNase P) is a ubiquitous endoribonuclease, found in archaea, bacteria and eukarya as well as chloroplasts and mitochondria. Lineage: Bacteria; Pseudomonadati; Pseudomonadota; Betaproteobacteria; Rhodocyclales; Zoogloeaceae. The record is from RNAcentral.